GCUCAGAAACUUAAAGGAAUUGACGGGGCCCGCACAAGCGGUGGAGCACGUGGUUUAAUUCGAUGCUAACCGAAGAACCUUACCUAGGCUUGACAUCCUAAGGAUAUUUUAGAGAUAAAGUAGUGCCGUUCUUUGAACGGAACUUAGAGACAGGUGCUGCAUGGCUGUCGUCAGCUCGUGCCGUGAGGUGUGGGUUAAGUCCCGCAACGAGCGCAACCCUAUUUUUAGUUGCCAUCAGGUUAAGCUGGGCACUCUAAAGAGACUGCCGUCGAUAAGGCGGAGGAAGGUGGGGACGACGUCAAGUCAUCAUGGCCCUUAUGUCUAGGGCUACACACGUGCUACAAUGGGUUAUACAGAGGGCAGCUAGCUCGCGAGAGUCUGCGAAUCCCUUAAAGUAAUCCUCAGUUCGGAUUGUAGUCUGCAACUCGACUACAUGAAGUUGGAAUCGCUAGUAAUCGCAGGUCAGCAAAACUGCGGUGAAUACGUUCCCGGGCCUU
This 497-nucleotide ribosomal RNA is filed under the name uncultured Denitrovibrio sp. RNAcentral describes it as "bacterial SSU rRNA". It matches the Rfam family "Bacterial small subunit ribosomal RNA", at positions 891 to 1382 of the family's 1533-position model. The record is from RNAcentral. Lineage: Bacteria; Pseudomonadati; Deferribacterota; Deferribacteres; Deferribacterales; Geovibrionaceae.